Molecule: non-coding RNA, 248 nt
Organism: Camelina sativa (false flax)
Lineage: Eukaryota; Viridiplantae; Streptophyta; Magnoliopsida; Brassicales; Brassicaceae
Source: RefSeq, a predicted model, not a curated record
CUUUCAGUUACCCCAUCUGUCUGCCUCGUAAGCUGCUCGCUUUCUAAUGUUCUGUCUUCUGGGGGAAUAUAUUUUUUAAGGAAUCAUCGAUUUGAGAGGUCCAAAGAUGCAGAAACUGGCUGAUUUCAAGCUUCCUCAGUUCUUCAAUUAUCCUCCAUACUUCACGUUGCAGCCUGUGAGGGACACUCGUGAGAAGCAGAUACAGCUCUGGAAAGAGCUUAUUUUGGAUUACUGCAAAUCCCAAAAGA